RNAcentral lists this ribosomal RNA (253 nucleotides) under uncultured bacterium. Its description in RNAcentral is "partial 16S ribosomal RNA". It matches the Rfam family "Bacterial small subunit ribosomal RNA", at positions 524 to 776 of the family's 1533-position model. The record is from RNAcentral.
GACGAAGGAUGCAAGCGUUAUCCGGAUUCAUUGGGUUUAAAGGGUGCGUAGGCGGGACGGUAAGUCAGUGGUGAAAGCCUGCAGCUUAACUGUAGAAUUGCCAUUGAUACUGCUGUUCUUGAGUGCAGCUGAGGUGGGCGGAAUGUGUAGUGUAGCGGUGAAAUGCUUAGAUAUUACACAGAACACCGAUUGCGAAGGCAGCUCACUAAACUGUAACUGACGCUGAGGCACGAAAGCGUGGGGAGCAAACAGG